This 960-nucleotide long non-coding RNA is filed under the name Zalophus californianus (California sea lion). RNAcentral describes it as "lncRNA (ENSZCAG00015004113.1)". Lineage: Eukaryota; Metazoa; Chordata; Mammalia; Carnivora; Otariidae. The record is from RNAcentral.
GUGCCUGAUACAGUGUCACCUGCAUAGUGGGACACUGCAGACGUGUUUUCAGUUGCUUUUCACUCUCUGGAAUUUUAUGCAAUGACUAUGGCCAAGAACCUUUGGACUAUCUCUCUCUGGUCAAGCAAAAAGGAUAGGAGAAAAAGUCCUUUGAAAAUUAAACCUACCUGGUGCUAGCUGGUAGCCAAUCCAGUGAAACUUCUGACCCACCUCCUACCCCUUAGACCCUGCCUUCAUCUUUGGGGUUUGGGGUUUUUAUACAGUCGUAGAGCGGCAGAGAAGGUGUCUGUCUGGUGUGUGUAGGGCUUCUUGCUAUUUCAAAUUCUUUGAAGAAGAAUGCUUGUUUCCUUCAGUUUAUUAAACUAGCUCAGUUAAACAUACCAGUCUUCAAGCCCUGUGAUGCAUGAGUACUCAAUGUAUUUUUAAAUUAAAAAAAAAAAUCAAUUGUGCUGCCCCCUUUCUCCCUCUGCCUCCUCCCUGUCUGUCUCACUUUAUUGUGAGACACUGAGAGUAGAGUGUGUGUGAGUGUGUGUGUGUGUGUGUGUGUGUGUGUGUGUGUGUGUGUGUCUGGGAGGAAGACAGACUCCCUACCUGUAAAUGGCUUGCUAUUAUUAGACGUUCAGUUACCAGGGGUUAUGUAAGACAAUUGAAGCUCUGUUUUUUAACAGAGACAUGAUUCAUGCUGCUUGUAGUAACAGUAACCACCUCCAAACGAGACAGAAACCAGACGCAGACAAAGGCUGGAGAAAUCAAUGCCGACUCGGUACAGCCAUUCUGCUGAUACCCUCUGCCUUUCAAUCAGAGCAGCACUUAGGUUAUCAGGAGAGGAGGCUCCUGCUUCUUCUGGGCCUUUUCCGGCUCCUGGGGCUGCCAGUCUCUUGUGCCCUACCACCACUUCUCUGCGGAUUACGCCUUCGAGUUACCCUACCUUUACCAAAUUUCCGAUGCCUCAGAUUAUGA